RNAcentral lists this ribosomal RNA (497 nucleotides) under uncultured bacterium. RNAcentral's name for it is "partial 16S ribosomal RNA". It matches the Rfam family "Bacterial small subunit ribosomal RNA", at positions 28 to 507 of the family's 1533-position model. The record is from RNAcentral.
GAUGAACGCUGGCGGCGUGCCUAAUACAUGCAAGUCGAGCGAACGGACGAGAAGCUUGCUUCUCUGAUGUUAGCGGCGGACGGGUGAGUAACAUGUGGAUAACCUACCUAUAAGACGGGGAUAACUUCGGGAAACCGUAGCUAAUACCGGAUAAUAUUUUGAACCGCAUGGUUCAAAAGUGAAAGACGGUCUUGCUGUCACUUAUAGAUGGAUCCGCGCUGCAUUAGCUAGUUGGUAAGGUAACGGCUUACCAAGGCAACGAUGCAUAGCCGAACUGAGAGGGUGAUCGGCCACACUGGAACUGAGCCACGGUCCAGACUCCUACGGGAGGCAGCAGUAGGGAAUCUUCCGCAAUGGGCGAAAGCCUGACGGAGCAACGCCGCGUGAGUGAUGAAGGUCUUCGGAUCGUAAAGCUCUGUUAUUAGGGAAGAACAUAUGUGUAAGUAACUGUGCACAUCUUGACGGUACCUAAUCAGAAAGCCACGGCUAACUACGUG